GUUUUCAGCUGUGCCUCAGAUGAUAGAGCUGGGGACCCCCCACACCCUGCCAAGCUGCUUUUGGAGACGUUGUGUGCCCUCCAGUCUCCACCAGUGCUGCAGCCCUUCUGAAUUAAACCACCGUAGGCUUGGCUGGAACCUGAAACCCUCUGACCUGACGGACAUCAAGCUUUUCCGCUGAAUCAGAGCAGGCCUUGUGGAGACUGCCCCGCUCAGAAGUAGGCGGUGACACCACUGGGGACUUGGUCCUGUGCUGGCCACCAGGCCGCUGAGUUAUCCCAAGGGCCUGCACUCGGUGCAGAGGCCCCAUUCCCACCUGGAGGGCCCUCAGCCUUCAGGAUUCCCUGAACCCCGGAGCAAAAUAAGGCACCUCCACCCCAUCCCCUGGGCCCUGCGCUCUUCUGAUGCCUGCUAGAUUCCCACCCAGCCCUGCCGUCUAGACACAAGGUCCCUGCUGCAAGGGAAACCUGGCUUUCCAUGGAAGGCACUCUACCCACGGUUCUUUCUCCUCGAUUCCUGAUCUCAAGGCAAGGAAGAGUGGUUCCCACUGACACUUCUCACACCCUCAUCUCACGAUUUCUUUAGUCUUCCGGCUCUGAUAACCAUUUCCGUACCAGCCACACAUAGAAAAUAAGGCUUAUUUCCUGCGCUCCACCCACCGUCACAAACAAGAGAAGGACUUCCAGCCAGUGCUCCCGACAAACCCCAUGGCUAUUGACUUCUUCCCGACUUAGCUGCUCAAGACAGUCACAAAUCUAGGAUUGGGUCCAUUAUGUAUUCAAGCCCCCUAACCUCAGAGGGAACCGCACAACUGCUCAGUUAUCUCUAUAAUCGCCCCUGGCUGAUUCACCUGUCACGUCCCUACAGGCUCCCAUUUUAACACCUGCCGGUCCUCAGGAGCACCUACCUUCUCCAUUGCCUCCUCUCUGAGUUUGUGCCCUUGCCACCAAAAUAGCUGACAAAAUGGAGAUCAGCUAUGAGCUAUCUCAGUAUCCUCUUAGUGACUUCAAAAUAGUUCUGCUUCUCCACUCAUUCCCCUCCUUCCCUCCUAUUUCAAAAGAAGCAGCAGCUUCUAAACCACAAUGAGAUACCACCUCACACCAUCAAGAUGACUACUAUCAAAAAACCAGAAAAUAACAAGCGAUGGCAAAGAUGUGGAGAAAAUGGGAGCCUUGUGCGCUGUUGGUGGGAAUGUAAAAUGGUGCAGCCCUUGUGGAAAACAUAUGGCAAAAAGUUAAAAAUAGAAUUACUAUAUGAUCCACAAUCCAACUUCUAGUUGUAUAUCCAAAAGACCUGAAAGCAGGGUCUCAAAGAGAUAUCUGUAUACCCACAUUCAUUGUGACAUCAUUCACGACAGC
RNAcentral lists this long non-coding RNA (1358 nucleotides) under Equus asinus (donkey). RNAcentral's name for it is "lncRNA (ENSEASG00005035668.1)". The record is from RNAcentral. Lineage: Eukaryota; Metazoa; Chordata; Mammalia; Perissodactyla; Equidae.